UUAAUUGAAGCCAAAAAGAGGCGUAUUACUGUUAAUGAUAUCACUAGGAAAUAUCCUCAAUUAAG
Molecule: transfer RNA, 65 nt
Filed under: Suillia sp. HeleYD1
Lineage: Eukaryota; Metazoa; Arthropoda; Insecta; Diptera; Heleomyzidae
Description: tRNA-Asn
Source: RNAcentral